Molecule: ribosomal RNA, 459 nt
Filed under: uncultured bacterium
Lineage: Bacteria
Description: partial 16S ribosomal RNA
Rfam family: Bacterial small subunit ribosomal RNA
Source: RNAcentral
CCUACGGGAGGCAGCAGUGAGGAAUAUUGGUCAAUGACCGGAAGGCUGAACCAGCCAAACCGCGUGAAGGACGAAGGUGCCAAGCAUUGUAAACUUCUUUUGUCAAGGGACAAAAUCAGGCUCGAGAGCCUGACCGAGGUUACUUGAAGAAAAAGCAUAGGCUAACUCCGUGCCAGCAGCCGCGGUGCUACGAAGGAUACGAGCGUUGUCCGGAUUUAUUGGGUUUAAAGGGUUCGUAGGCUGGCUGUUAAGUCAGCGGUAAAAGCCCGGGGCUCAACCCCGGCGCGCGGUGGAUACUUGCUGUCUUGAGAUGGCGAGAGGUAUGCGGAAUGCGAAGUGUAGCGGUGAAAUGCUUAGAUAUUGCGAAGAACUCCGAUUGCGAAGGCAGCAUACUGGCGGUGAUCUGACGCUGAGGCACGAAAGCGUGGGUAUCGAACAGGAUUAGAUACCCUAGUAGUC